This 93-nucleotide non-coding RNA is filed under the name uncultured Clostridium sp. RNAcentral describes it as "Purine riboswitch". The stretch from base 15 to 93 matches the Rfam family "Purine riboswitch aptamer", at positions 18 to 96 of the family's 102-position model. Rfam says of the family: Riboswitches are metabolite binding domains within certain messenger RNAs that serve as precision sensors for their corresponding targets. Allosteric rearrangement of mRNA structure is mediated by ligand binding, and this results in modulation of gene expression. A class of riboswitches that selectively recognises guanine and becomes saturated at concentrations as low as 5 nM. The record is from RNAcentral. Lineage: Bacteria; Bacillati; Bacillota; Clostridia; Eubacteriales; Clostridiaceae.
AAAAGUAAUCGCGUUUAUCGUAUAAAGUUGGUAAUAGGGUCCAACAGUAUCUACCAAAUCACCUUAAAUGAUUUGACUACGAUAUUUCUUAUA